GAGUCUGUUAGAGGUAGAGCUACCAAUUGGACUAGGGGGAGUCAAAUCCUACCAAAUCCAGAUGAACUCCGAAUGCUAACAGAUAUACACGGCAGUGAGGGCUUGGGUGCUAAGGUCCAAGUCCGAGAGGGAAAGAACCCAGACUAACAGCUAAGGUCCCAAAAUCUAACCUAAGUUGAACAAAGGAGGUUCAGUUGCAGAGACAGCCAGGAUGUUUGCUCGGAAGCAGCAAUUCAUUUAAAGAGUGCGUAACAGCUCACUGGUCGAGCGACAGAGCAUCGAUAAUAAACGGGCAUCAAGGAUAGUACCGAAGCUUUAGAUUUAUAUCCUCGGGAUAUAAGUGGUAGGGGAGCAUUCUAAGGCCGGUGAAGGCGGAACGUGAGUUGCGCUGGAGGGCUUAGAAAAGCAAAUGUAGGAAUAAGUAACGAUAAUAAGGGUGAGAAUCCCUUACACCGAUAGACUAAGGUUUCCUGAUCAACGUUCGUCGGAUCAGGGUUAGUCGGGACCUAAGGCGAACCCAUCGUAGUGGUGGGGCAGUCGAUGGACAACUGGUUAAUAUUCCAGUACUUGUGUAUACUGCUAUGGAGAGACGGAGUAGUGAAAAGUUCGCCUGGUGACGGAAUACCAGGUUAAAGCCAGUAGAUAUAUUUGGGGUAGGCAAAUCCGCUCCGAAUGUCGAAGGUGAUAGUACAACAAAGCUUCGGCCGCGUUGAUAGUAACUGUAAACAGACUUCCAAGAAAAUCUUCUAUGCUUCAGGUAUACACGACCCGUACCGCAAACCGACACAGGUAGUCAAGGAGAGAAUCCUGAGGUGCGCGAGUGAAUCACGGCUAAGGAACUCGGCAAAUUAACCCUGUAACUUCGGGAGAAGGGGUGCUUCCUCUAGCGAUAGAGAAGCCGCAGUGAAAAGUCUCAGGCGACUGUUUAACAAAAACACAUGGCUCUGCGAAAUCGAAAGAUAAAGUAUAGGGCCUGACACCUGCCCGGUGCCGGAAGGUUAAGAGGGGGGCUUAGCGUAAGCGAAGGUCUGAAUCGAAGCCCCGGUAAACGGCGGCCGUAACUAUAACGGUCCUAAGGUAGCGAAAUUCCUUGUCGGGUAAGUUCCGACCUGCACGAAUGGUGUAACGAUCUGGGCGCUGUCUCAGCCGUGAGCUCGGUGAAAUUGUAGUAGCGGUGAAGAUGCCGCUUACCCGUCACGGGACGGAAAGACCCCGUGCACCUUUACUAUAGCUUUGCAUUGAUUUUGGGUAAAUGAUGUGUAGGAUAGGUGGGAGGCUUUGAAGCGGGUACGCUAGUAUUCGUGGAGCCAACGUUGAAAUACCACCCUUUAUUUACUUGGAGUCUAACCCCUGAAUAGGGAAACAGUGCAUGGUGGGUAGUUUGACUGGGGUGGUCGCCUCCAAAAAAGUAUCGGAGGCUUCUAAAGGUUCCCUCAGUACGCUUGGUAACCGUACGUAGAGUGCAAUGGCAUAAGGGAGCUUGACUGUGAGACAAACAAGUCGAUCAGGUACGAAAGUAGAGCAUAGUGAUCCGGUGGUUCCGCAUGGAAGGGCCAUCGCUCAAAGGAUAAAAGGUACGCCGGGGAUAACAGGCUGAUCUCCCCCAAGAGCUCAUAUCGACGGGGAGGUUUGGCACCUCGAUGUCGGUUCGUCACAUCCUGGGGCUGGAGAAGGUCCCAAGGGUUCGGCUGUUCGCCGAUUAAAGUGGCACGCGAGCUGGGUUCAGAACGUCGUGAGACAGUUCGGUCCCUAUCUGU
This 1757-nucleotide ribosomal RNA is filed under the name metagenomes. RNAcentral's name for it is "bacterial LSU rRNA". It matches the Rfam family "Bacterial large subunit ribosomal RNA", at positions 889 to 2645 of the family's 2925-position model. The record is from RNAcentral.